UUUAGUUGAAAGUGGUAAGUUUGGGGGAGCUGGAGGAGUGUGAGGUCGUCGACUCCGAGCCCACGGUUGCUGAGCGAGUGUCUAGUGGUGGGUAUGAAGGUGAUGGGUGUGUGUAUGGUGCUGGAUGGUUUGAGAACUUGCGAGAGAGCGUUGUGAUUUGCGGUUGGGUGUAUCUUCUUCUCCAAAACAGGUUGCAGACAAAGGUGGAGGAAGCU
RNAcentral lists this long non-coding RNA (215 nucleotides) under Brassica napus (rape). RNAcentral's name for it is "long non-coding RNA (BNAP_LNC020449)". Lineage: Eukaryota; Viridiplantae; Streptophyta; Magnoliopsida; Brassicales; Brassicaceae. The record is from RNAcentral.